UUCAGAUGUCUACAAAUACCCAUAAGGGAGAGGAAGUCCCGCUUGCAGACCACAGGAGUUUGGCCUGCCGAUGUGGGCAACAGGCCAGCUCUGAGGCAGAGGUGGUAUGAUCUCUUUCAGCAGAUAGAGAAUUUUGCAAUAAAUGUCCGUGGACAACUCUGCUUGGGGGGGCUUCAGCGAUGCAUGGAUUUCACCCCCAGAUAGGUUUCUCUACCAGUAGACAUUUUGAGCCAGCACCUACAGCUCCGCCAGCGCCUGUGUCUUUGUCUGCUGUUCAGACUCCUCCAUGGAGGAAGGCGUUGAACUUGUCGAUGUUCAAUAAGCAAAGGAUUUGUGGGCUCUCAUGUGUCUGCAGCAAGACCAAACUGUAACUUGGCAUGGAAGCCUGCUCAGAUAAAUAAAAUAAAGGCUAACCUGUCAAAAGCUUGCAUGAUGUGCCUAUGAAGCCUGUUCAGCCCCUCUCCAGCCCUGCUAAGGACCUCUGUGAAGACUACCUCCCCUUUCUCCCGGCCCCUCUCCAGCCCUGCUAAGGACCUCUGUGAAGACCACCUCCCUUUUCUCCCGGCCCCUCUCCAGUCCUGCUAAGGACCUCUGUGAAGACCACCUCCCCUUUCUCCCGGCCCCUCUCCAGUCCUGCUAAGGACCUCUGUGAAGACCACCUCCCCUUUCUCCCGGCCCCUCUCCAGUCCUGCUUAAGGACCUCUGUGAAGACCACCUCCCCUUUCUCCCGGCCCCUCUCCAGCCCUGCUAAGGACCUCUGUGAAGACCACCUCUCCUUUCUCCCAGACCCCUCUGCUACAGCCUAUAUGAAGACCACCACUGCCUCUGCUGUCUCUCAGGGCUCCGCCAGCUCUGCUAGAGCCUCUAAAUGCUCUCCUCUGCUAUAGCCUCGAAGAGGAACCUCAGUAAUUACCAUUUUGUCAUUUCUUAAUUAAUAUCAUUACAUCCAUUAAAA
This is a long non-coding RNA of Oncorhynchus gorbuscha (pink salmon), 955 nucleotides long. RefSeq lists it as uncharacterized. Lineage: Eukaryota; Metazoa; Chordata; Actinopteri; Salmoniformes; Salmonidae. The record is from RefSeq and is a predicted model, not a curated record. The transcript is spliced from 6 exons.